AAUUAAUAAUUGUAUUUUUAAGAUCUAAUUUAUUAAACUGGAGGAUAACGAAAAAAGAAAGGUCAUAACAUUAAAAAUAAAUAUCUACCAGUCCUAUGGAAAGCGUUUAAUUCUUCCAAAUAAAGAAAAAAUAACUGACACCUCCGAUUAAAUUUUUCAACAGGUCAAAUAUAACACAUUUUUCAAUGUUCCUCAAUUGUCCAUCAAGAGUCCACGAGAAGGAAUUACUACAUCAGCAUCCAUAGAAAUGCACACUAGUUCCACCAAUUGGAAAAUACGACUUGACCAUCUUAUAAAUAAAGGCAGUAGUAUACCGAAAUUCAUAAAUCUAUUGAAAAAAAACCAAGUCCGGGUUACAAUACAAGUUGUACUUAAUUCUUCUUAAUUUGUCUCUUACUGUAGUCUCUAAUUUCACUUGUUUUUACAGUAAAACAAACAAAAAAUACCGUAAAACAAAAAAUAAAAACAUGUAUGAGCAAUAAUUCUUAAAAAUCACCCUCCCCUUUAAAAACCAGACGCGAAAAAAAAGCAGCUAAAACACUCAAUAAUACCCGUAUGCUAUUCAUGGCCAUCCAUGGUUGAUGAAAAAGUGUCAAGUGUUUCCAAUUAAACAGUUUUACAGUCAAACUAUAUUAUGGAUGUGACUAUGGUCACUUCAUUAAGUCACUUCAUAUGAACUUUUAUUUUCGAAUGUGUGUACAUUUAGAUACAUACAUACUAUUGGCUUGAAGGUUGCCAGCUAAAGAAUCCAGUCUUAAGUAAAUGUAAAUAAUGUUCUGUUUAUCUAAUUAAGUAAACGCACAUAAAAGUGCCAUAGUCCUCAGGUGAAGUAUUAUCAUCAGACAGACAAAAACACUAAUGACACAUUAAUGCAUUACACUGGAAAGAGAUGCUGUCAUACGUGUGAUCAUUAUGCAACUGUUUUGUUAUUGGAAUAGUGCAUAGAACAUUAACCACCA
Molecule: long non-coding RNA, 959 nt
Filed under: Mytilus galloprovincialis (Mediterranean mussel)
Lineage: Eukaryota; Metazoa; Mollusca; Bivalvia; Mytilida; Mytilidae
Source: RNAcentral